CGGCUUAGCUUUUAUAUGCAUUUGUGGAUUUCAAGUUGGAGUUUGAAUGUUGUCAUGGUCAUUCAAUGUGAUAAUGUGGGUUCGCUUGGUUCCUUUGGCCCUGGCUUUGUCUCUUGAAAUUUUGGUUUUCCAGCUUUGGAGGGUACCGCAAAUUGUCUUCCUUCAUUUCUUUCCAUCUCUAGUAGACAGUUCGUCCUCUCACAACAGUGCCUCUCCUGAUCUUCUUAUGUAGGAUUGCUCUCCAAGUUGUAAGGUGGGGUCUUGCUCAGCUUCCGUUGAUCAUGAGCGAGAGGGAGCACUUGCAUUGUCGUAGUUCUCUUUUGUUUGGGAGGUGAGGAUGUCAGUUUUGGUGACCCUACUCUUGAGUUUUCUCCGCUGAGGCCUCGACCUCGGGGGCAGCCAAGGAAGAAGCGUGACUCGGAGGGGGGUCCUCGUAGGCCUAGAGGUCGUCCAAAGAAGGUUGUUUGUGAGGAUGUCGUGUGCAGUCCGCGUGGUGGUCCUCCUUCUCCUUUUGGCCCAUACUUCACGCGCGCUAGAUAGCCUUAUUUUAUCGGAAAACAAAAAGGUUUGGAAUUCCUCUACAACGAGGAAGAGGCCAUUCGUGGUCUGGCGAUGCGGACUCAUUGUACUUAGAGAUAAUGGGCUUGCGGGCUCGUAGCGAGCUUGGGUUAGCCGGUUGUUUUUUUUGGCAGUUAGGUCCUUGAGUUUGGUUUUUGGCUGUCUUGGCUUGUGGGGUCUCUGGUUUUUUUCUCGUGGUUUCGUUUGUUAUUUGGUUUUUGUCAGACUCCCUUGUGGGGUUGUAAUUUGCUUUACUUUUUAAUAAAUUAUUUCACUCUCUUAAAUAAUGACUUAAGAAAAAUAAUUAUGACUAAAACUUAAUAAAUUUAAAUUUAC
This 894-nucleotide long non-coding RNA is filed under the name Lotus japonicus. Its description in RNAcentral is "long non-coding RNA (LJAP_LNC000699)". Lineage: Eukaryota; Viridiplantae; Streptophyta; Magnoliopsida; Fabales; Fabaceae. The record is from RNAcentral.